RNAcentral lists this ribosomal RNA (508 nucleotides) under uncultured bacterium. RNAcentral's name for it is "partial 16S ribosomal RNA". It matches the Rfam family "Bacterial small subunit ribosomal RNA", at positions 28 to 523 of the family's 1533-position model. The record is from RNAcentral.
GAUGAACGCUAGCUACAGGCUUAACACAUGCAAGUCGAGGGGAAACGACAUCGAAAGCUUGCUUUUGAUGGGCGUCGACCGGCGCACGGGUGGGUAACGCGUAUCCAACCUGCCCACCACUUGGGGAUAACCUUGCGAAAGUAAGACUAAUACCCAAUGACGUCUCUAGAAGACAUCUGAAAGAGAUUAAAGAUUUAUCGGUGAUGGAUGGGGAUGCGUCUGAUUAGCUUGUUGGCGGGGUAACGGCCCACCAAGGCGACGAUCAGUAGGGGAUCUAAGAAGAAGGUCCCCCACAUUGGAACUGAGACACGGUCCAAACUCCUACGGGAGGCAGCAGUGAGGAAUAUUGGUCAAUGGGCGAGAGCCUGAACCAGUCAAGUAGCGUGCAGGAUGACGGCCCUAUGGGUUGUAAACUGCUUUUAUAAGGGAAUAAAGUGAGUCUCGUGAGACUUUUUGCAUGUACCUUAUGAAUAAGGACCGGCUAAUUCCGUGCCAGCCGCCGCAGUAA